UGUUAGUAUUCAUUUUAAUUUUGUGCAAUACUGUACAGUACCUUUGGAAAAAAAAAAUUGGAAAAACAAAUGGGGUACAACAUACAUAUUAAAUAAUGAGACUUGGUUUACUUAGAGAAUCUUGCGUUUAUUUUUGUCUGGUAAAGGGAUAUGUCAAGAAAAGUGAUGGAAUGAUUUGGAUUUGGAUUUCUUCUAUGUGAUACAAACCAAGGAUUAUGUUUGCUGUUUGGCAUAUCCUUGUCUUUAGGCCUAAAACAAUUAAUAAAAUAAAAUAAAAUACACACGCCUGCUAAAAUACCCUACGCACCAAAAUUUAUCAUUUACCCAUCGCAUAUCACUUUUGAGUAUGAUGCCAUAAUUUAUUCAACAUUAUAUUAUUGUUUCUAUUAAUUUUGUAGGAGCAAAAUUUUAGGCAAUUUGUUUCUUCUGCCUUUACCGCUCGGCCACUCGACUAGCCUCAUGUGAUAACUGUGUGGAUCUAUCAAUGUUGAACCCUGGGAUUGGAAGAAUUACUCGGAAGGAGACAGUUCAGACAGAUUUUAUGCCACCAAAUCCUCCUAGUAGCCCUCAGCAAGUCAGAAGCCCUAAGGGUCAGACAUAGGCUUAGCAGUGGAGCCAUGGACACACCUGUAUUCCUUCCAGCAAAAUAUAUACGGCCAUCAGUUUCGGAAGUUUUCUUCGAAAAGCAGAGAACUUCUUUUGCAUGCGAAAAAGCACUGUGAAAUUGAGUAGAAGUAAUGACGGUUUGAGAUGGAACAAGUGAAGUCCACAAAGAUGAGCAGAGUGCCCAGCCCACAUGUGACAGCAUGAAUGAUGAGUCUGCGCCCUCUAUGAUAGUGUCAGGAAUGCAGUUGAAACAUUGAAGAUAGUAACAGUAAAGAGGAAUGUUCUUCAAUGGAGAAUUUGGUUACUGGAAACCAAAAAGAACAGUUAGAGACAGAAUUACUAUGAAGAAGACUGUUGAGACAGAUUUUAUGCCAAAAAAAUCCUCCU
Molecule: long non-coding RNA, 993 nt
Organism: Anneissia japonica
Lineage: Eukaryota; Metazoa; Echinodermata; Crinoidea; Comatulida; Comatulidae
Exons: 5
Source: RefSeq, a predicted model, not a curated record